AACUGAGUUUGUUACUGGUAUGAGCUUUCGUGUGCAUGCACACUUCUUCAGGUACUUCAUGUGGUAUCUGAAGAAGUGGGCAUGCAUACGAAAGUUCAUACCAAUAACAAACUUAGUUGG
Non-coding RNA from Podarcis lilfordi (Lilford's wall lizard), 120 nucleotides. The record is from the annotation of a GenBank genome assembly. NCBI's taxonomy places the organism in Eukaryota, Metazoa, Chordata, Lepidosauria, Squamata, Lacertidae.